UACUCUCAUUCCCUCACUCUACUCUCAUUUUUUUUCCUCUGUUCUCCCCACAAACAUUUCAGGUUCACUUCCCACCAAAAAAAAAAAAAAAAUCUCUAUUUCUCUAUUUUUCUUUUAUUCUCUCUCUUUAUUUUGUGCCAACCAAUUCCAAUUCACCUUUUUCCGAGUCUCUCUCCCCCUUCUUCCAGAAAAUUGACCCUAAUCAGAUUGAUUUCGUUCUCUUCUUUCACCUUCUAUUUCGAUUUUUCGUGACACUUGUUUUGAUUAUCGCUGCGCGGUUUCGAGUAUCGGGAAAUUGUUUUGAGGAAUUUUGAUUAAGGUGUUAGGGUUUUGAUUCUUAGGUGCGUGAGUAUGAGGCUGAUGGAUGAGGUUGAGAAGGAGGAGGAGAAGGUAGUGGGGGAGGUUCAAGAUCAAUGGUGUCCGGUGGUGAAUGCUGGAUUCUCUUCGCCGU
RNAcentral lists this long non-coding RNA (451 nucleotides) under Arachis ipaensis. Its description in RNAcentral is "long non-coding RNA (AIPA_LNC001833)". The record is from RNAcentral. Lineage: Eukaryota; Viridiplantae; Streptophyta; Magnoliopsida; Fabales; Fabaceae.